AGACUUAUAGUUUAAUGGUAGAGCAUACGGCUCAUGACCGUCUAUUUGUUGGGGUUCAAGUCCCUCUAUGUCUA
This 74-nucleotide transfer RNA is filed under the name Candidatus Hodgkinia cicadicola. Its description in RNAcentral is "tRNA-Met". It matches the Rfam family "tRNA". Rfam says of the family: Transfer RNA (tRNA) molecules are approximately 80 nucleotides in length. Their secondary structure includes four short double-helical elements and three loops (D, anti-codon, and T loops). The record is from RNAcentral. Lineage: Bacteria; Pseudomonadati; Pseudomonadota; Alphaproteobacteria; Hyphomicrobiales.